AGCGCAGACGGUUGAUUAAGUCUGAUGUGAAAGCCCGGAGCUCAACUCCGGAAUGGCAUUGGAAACUGGUUAACUUGAGUGCAGUAGAGGUAGGUGGAACUCCAUGUGUAGCGGUGGAAUGCGUAGAUAUAUGGAAGAACACCAGUGGCGAAGGCGGCUUACUGGACUGUAACUGACGUUGAGGCUCGAAAGUGUGGGUAGCAAACA
This 207-nucleotide ribosomal RNA is filed under the name uncultured bacterium. Its description in RNAcentral is "partial 16S ribosomal RNA". It matches the Rfam family "Bacterial small subunit ribosomal RNA", at positions 568 to 774 of the family's 1533-position model. The record is from RNAcentral.